UAGGGAAUCUUCGGCAAUGGACGAAAGUCUGACCGAGCAACGCCGCGUGAGUGAAGAAGGUUUUCGGAUCGUAAAACUCUGUUGUUAGAGAAGAACAAGGACGUUAGUAACUGAACGUCCCCUGACGGUAUCUAACCAGAAAGCCACGGCUAACUACGUGCCAGCAGCCGCGGUAAUACGUAGGUGGCAAGCGUUGUCCGGAUUUAUUGGGCGUAAAGCGAGCGCAGGCGGUUUCUUAAGUCUGAUGUGAAAGCCCCCGGCUCAACCGGGGAGGGUCAUUGGAAGCUGGGAGACUUGAGUGCAGAAGAGGAGAGUGGAAUUCCAUGUGUAGCGGUGAAAUGCGUAGAUAUAUGGAGGAACACCAGUGGCGGAGGCGGCUCUCUGGUCUGUAACUGACGCUGAGGCUCGAAAGCGUGGGGAGCAAACAGG
This 429-nucleotide ribosomal RNA is filed under the name Chloroflexota bacterium. RNAcentral's name for it is "Chloroflexi bacterium partial 16S ribosomal RNA". It matches the Rfam family "Bacterial small subunit ribosomal RNA", at positions 355 to 776 of the family's 1533-position model. The record is from RNAcentral. Lineage: Bacteria; Bacillati; Chloroflexota.